Artibeus jamaicensis (Jamaican fruit-eating bat) is the source of this 1585-nucleotide long non-coding RNA. RefSeq lists it as uncharacterized. The record is from RefSeq and is a predicted model, not a curated record. The transcript is spliced from 3 exons. Lineage: Eukaryota; Metazoa; Chordata; Mammalia; Chiroptera; Phyllostomidae.
CUGGCUUCCUCCGCUGUUGGUAAUUAUACACCCUGUGAAAAACUCUGGAAGGCAUGUGUGGAUGACAACUUUAGGAAGAAUCUAGAUUAAAGAUCUGAGUGGAGGACUGGGUAGAGGCUACCGAAUUCCGGAGGAUGGGAACCACAGUAGGCACAUUGCUUUUUUGAGAAAGGAUACUAAUACUGAUACUAAUUUGAGACAGUAAUACUAAUAAAAUUGGGACUAAUAAAAGAGGUUCACUGCCCUGGCUGGUGUAGCUUGGUGGAUUGAAUGCCAGCCUGUGAACCAAAGGGUCGCAGCUGAGAUUCCCAGUCAGGGCACAUGCCUGGGUUGCAGGCCAGGUCCUCAGUUGGGGGUGUAUGAGAGGCAACCACACAUUGAUGUUUCCUUCUUUUUCUCCCUCCCUUUGCCUCUCUCUGAAAGUAAAUAAAUAAAAUCUAAAAAAAUAAAAUAAAAGAGGUUCACUAUGCAAAAUAGUGUAGCCCAAAUACUGGGAGAUGUUUAAAACAAUCUUUGCCUAUAGAGGCUCAUGAAGCAGGGAAGUCAGAUACUUAGACAGUUACAGGUAAAGACAAACCAGUAAUGAGUGUGCAAGGAGGGGCCCUCCAUGGUAAGGAGCUAUCCUGGAAGGCUUCACGGAGGAGAAGGGUCAGGGAUCAUUAACCAGGGAAGUGCAGGGAGGAUGGGCCCUGGGCAGAGAGAGGAAUGGCAAGAUUGGGGAGAGGAAGUCCUCAGCGCUGCAUUUUGCCAGGCCUCCCUUGUUUCAUCAUCAGGAACGUGCCAGCACAGUCAACCUGCUGCCCUUCACCCUCGCCGGAUCUGCCGGUUGCUCACUGGGUUGCCCCUUUGCAACCCCACGCCUGGCAUCGGCGCACCUGAGUCCGUCUGACCGAGUUUUCCUGUGCAACCCUGCUCUGCCAGCUGCUGGUUUCACCCCUCUUACCGGUCAGGCUGAAGAAUUCGUUGUUAUCAGACUUCCAAAAAGAUGGUUCUACCUGUCCAAGGUGAAGGCCAAGUUGGAUUUUGAAGUGUUGGCUACCUGGCAACAUUUCUGGAUCUGUGUCCUCCAAAGGCAUCAGUCAAGGGACAUCACUUCAAUAAUGAAACAAAAUCCAGAACUCUCAAGUUGGCUAAUAAUGCUUGAUUUCACACUGGCAGGGGAGAUGCCAUGAUCACAAAGGUGGUUUUCCUGGAGCGGGGCUGAUCCAUUGCACUCCAGAUGUGCCGACUCCUGUGAUUUUCCCAAAUGUGGGAAACUCGACUGCAUAAGUUGUGGCAGUGGGGGACUGUGUUCGCACUUUUCUCUGGGGAAAAAAGAAAAACCAACACUUGAUUUCCGAUAGGGAGGGGCGACUCAGCUUCUGUCUCUAGCUCCACUCUCCCCAUCCUGGAGAUCUCAGCCCCACAGCAUCACACCCCCUCUCCAUUACAGGUAUUUCCUAACAUACUCCUUACUAUCUUGAAAUGAAUCGGCAAACAAGGAAUACGAUUCAGGGCUGUUGUAUUUUUAACAGAUGGUGCUGAGACAACUGGACAUGUAAAUGAAAAAAGAUAAACUUAGACCUUUACCUCACUCCAUAAUUAA